AGAUCUAUAAUAUAUUUAAAAUUAGGUACCACGAAGCCACUUGAGCUAAUUUUGUUAUUAUUUUAGAAUUUAACAAUAGCGUAAUAUAGUUAUACUAUUAAUAAAAAUUAGGGGUGAAAGGCCUUACAAAUUUGGUGAUAUCUUGAUGUUAAGGAAAUAUAUAAAGUAUAGAGUCAACCUAAAAAUGGUUAGGUUUUUAGGGUAUAUUAUUUUAGUUCUUAAAAUACCGGAAUUUUUAAAAAAUACCAGGUAGCGUAGCCUAACAUUUAUUACUUUUUAUAUUAUAGGAAUUACUUAACUAUUAAUUUUAUUUUAACUAAUCUAUAGAUAAUGAUCUCAUUAGUAUUUACCUAUUUUUAUUUAAGGAACUCGGCAAAUAAUUUCUCGACUGUUUAUCAAAAACAUAGUUUUAAGUAUAUAUUUAAAGUUUAACCUGCUCAAUGAAAUUUAAAUAGCCGCAGUACCUUGACUGUGCAAAGGUAGCAUAAUCAGUUGGCUUAUAAUUGAAGUCUAGUAUGAAAGGGAAUUCGGGAAGUGGCUGUCUUGUAUAAAGAACUAGAAUUUAAUUAUUAGGUGAAAAUCCCUAAAUUGUUAGAAAAAAGACGAGAAGACCCUAGAAAUUUUAUUAAAAUAAUCCUUAAAUUUUGUUGGGGCGACAUGGUAACAAAUAACUUACCAAAUUAAUAGGAAACUUUUAAGUGGUAUAAGUAAAUUACUCUAGGGAUAACAGCAUAAUAUUUUAAAGUUUGUGACCUCGAUGUUGGACUAGGGAGUGAAGUAUUUAAAAGAUACUUUAAUAGGCUCUGUUCGAGCUAUACACCCUACAUGAUCUGAGUUCAGACCGG
This 845-nucleotide ribosomal RNA is filed under the name Monacha atacis. RNAcentral describes it as "partial 16S ribosomal RNA". The record is from RNAcentral. Lineage: Eukaryota; Metazoa; Mollusca; Gastropoda; Stylommatophora; Hygromiidae.